AAACCGAUUCUCAAUCUGGUAGGAGUUGUACAGGGAAAGGGGGCCUUCUGAGAAUACAACUCCUCAACCCCACUGAGCCAGAGGUUGACACACUUGGAUCUGAUUAAUACUUCCCCUGCCCCCAGAGUGUAUCUCCCAGCACGGGGCAUCUCUAUGUCCCCCAGAGGACUCCCUGCCUUUGGAAGAUCUUGGAAUCAUAGCACCAAGUUCCUUUGCCAUGCCCCAGAACACUUUCCCCUGCAUCCUCUACAGAAUGCCUGUGCAUGCUGCUUCCAACCCAUCACUGUCUAAAGGUCCCACAUGCCCUGAGUCUCACCAACACGGGGUAUAUGGUGCUUACUGCUAAUUGUCAACUUGGCACGAUCUUGAAUUACCUAAGAGACAUACUUUUGGGCAUAUCUGUGGUGGGAGUUUUCAGAUUCAGUUAACAGAGGUGGGAAGACCCACCCAGAAGACAUGGUGUCACCAGCUGCCUCACACUUGGGCUACCAUGGCUUCCCAACCUUGAUGGACUUCAAACUGGAGCCAGUGGGAACUCUUGUCGAGUAUGCUGUCACAACGGGUCAUUGCCAUACACCUCCUGUCUUAGCCUCUCUUGAAGGCUCUACGCAGCCUGAGCCCACAGCCGGGGCAGGCCAGGCUCAUCAGGGAGUAGCGCCUCUCCCAGUGACUGACACUCAGCCACUGUUGGGUGGACAAGGAAAACAAUCAUGCCAUCACAGUAAUUACCAUGUAUCGAGUCCUUCUGACAAGCCAAGAAUGAGCAGAAAUCUCCCUGGAUUUCACGUCAUGCUUUCAGCAAUCCCCUUUGUCAAUGACGGAUUAUCCUGUUCUACAGCUGAGCAUCAAGGGGCUGAGAGAGGCUGUGUCACUUGUCACAAGACUCAGAAAAACAGAAACAAAAACAAACAAGACAGAAUCAAGCCCCCUAGACUGUAUCAAAGGGGGCAGAAUGAAGAAAAGUUUUGUUGUUGUUUUUAAGCUCUGGGAUUGGAUUUUUGUGUUCCCAGAAGCCAGAAUUAAGAAAUGGCCAGUAAGGUUCACCACGAUGAAUCAUAGACUUCAGCCCAACUUCCUUUGACAGUGGGAGCUUUUAACCAAAUAAAGAGACAGAAACCCAACUCAAAC
RNAcentral lists this long non-coding RNA (1128 nucleotides) under Mus musculus (house mouse). Its description in RNAcentral is "RIKEN cDNA 4930432M17 gene". Lineage: Eukaryota; Metazoa; Chordata; Mammalia; Rodentia; Muridae. The record is from RNAcentral.